CGCCUCUUCCUCUUCUAGAAGCCUUAGAAUCUGCUGGAAACCUUAAUCCUUUUCAUCUUUGGUUUCGGCCAAACCUUAGUCCUUUUCCUCAAGGAUUGUGCAAUCCUAAUCCUUAUGGAUUGUGCCGUGAGUUUGCCCUAUAAAUAUACAUAUCUGCCGCACAAAUCAAUUCACCCACACACCCACAUACAUUAAGAUAUAAUUGAGAGAUUUCAGAGAGUUUUAAACGUGCACUUGCAUGGAGGAAGGAGAAGGAGAAGCUUGUGUCGUGGCUUGAAAUCCAAAGGAGAGUUCGAAAUCUGCCAUUGGAGCUGCUGGGACGUUCUUGGUUCUUUCUAUCCUUAGAUUUGUUUCAAUAUGUCCAACUUAGUGUUUUAAGUUCCACUAGAGUUAAAAAGGUGUUUCAAUAUGUCCAACUUAGUGUUUUAAGUUCCACUAGUGUUAAAUUUGUCCAAACAGUCCUUAGAACCUGUUUUGAGUCUUUUUUAACUUAGUUUUGCUGUUUUGAGUGUUUUGAGUCAGUUUUAAGUCAUAAGAGUCUUGUUUAGAGUUUUUAAGUCUAGUUAAGUGUUUUUAAGUUUAAUUUAGUAUUUCUGAGUCAUAUUCGUAUAGAUUAGCAUCCCUAGUUAAUCCUCGGUUCAGAACGAUCCCUAC
This 654-nucleotide long non-coding RNA is filed under the name Malus domestica (apple). RNAcentral describes it as "long non-coding RNA (MDOM_LNC012619)". The record is from RNAcentral. Lineage: Eukaryota; Viridiplantae; Streptophyta; Magnoliopsida; Rosales; Rosaceae.